AAGGCAAGAGAGCUGCGUGCUGUGCUCUAAAAGACAGCAGCAAAAGUGCUGAAGUUUAGCUACUUCCUUAGUGGUGUUCAUACUCCACAUCAAAGAGAGUACUCUGUCUAGGCAGACCCCAGAUGUUCUGAAUGAAGGGGAAAAUAGAGAAUCCUCUUAAAAUUCUAUGGUGCUGUCCCUUGAGACUGCAAUAGAUGUACUCUGACCAUGAGUGCCCCAGCCGCUCAGUGUGACAGUGGGAACAGAAAUAUCCAGACGUGCAGGUAUGACGCUGUCUUUUUCUACCGUGUCACCUGCGUUUGGACCGUGAGCCUCAGGUGCUCUGACAUUCUAAUUUCCAGUCACAGGUAUGAUGCCAGCCCCUCAGACAGCAGUAGAUGUAUGUGCUCUGGCCAGGUGGAUGCUCGGUGUCUGCUGGAGGGUGGGAACAGAAGGGUCUCGUGGCACGCAUGCAUUUCUUCUCAGUGGUGCAGCCUUCUCCAAUAUAACAGGGUUCCGUGAUUAGAUGGGUUCCAGGUGCUCAGACAGGAUGCAGGAAGAGCAGUCCAAACACAGUUAUGGGGUUGGGGUUGGCCCCUCCCAUUGCAAAACACCUACUCCUUCAGGUAGGACCCAGGAGCCCUGACUGCAGAUAGGAACGUAAAGGCCCCCAGGCGGAGCUAUGGAGUCCAACUGACUGCAAUAGACGUACCCUGGUUGGAGGGGUCCCAGGUGAUCUGAACACAAAUGUCUUAUGGCACAAGUACCUCCUCAGUGAUGCUCUCUCUCCUCCAGUAGUAGUAGGCAUGUCAUGGCUGGGCUGGCUCUAGGUGCCCUCAUUAUAGGUAGGAAGGAAAGCGUUUCCAAGGACAGAUUUGCCGUCUACAGUGCUGGCCUCUCCGAUUGCAACAGGGAUGCAAUAGGCUGGCAGUGUCCCCCAACACGAGCUAUGGCGCUGGGUGUCCCACAGGGUCUUGCUCCAAAGCUGAGUGUUCCAGGCAAGGAGCUGCAGCCUGGGACAUACACACUGACCGCAAAGCUGCCACGAUCUCAAAGGGCGCACAAGCCCCGUAACCCCAAGUGGGUCUGAAGUGCUAUGGCAGAAGGUGAGCUGCAGUUCUCGGUGCUGUGCGUGUCGGUGGCAGCUCCAGAGCAGGACAGAGUGGCCGUGCCAGUGGGGAAAACAACUGAAGUGUCACCAAAAGCUGGCUGGGUGUUGACAGAGAUGUAAAAUUUGGAAUAUGGGAGCGUCGGACUCCCCAGAGCUGACUGCCGUUGGGUUCCAGGGUCGCAGUUCGGGCUAAGGAAGGAGGUCCUGCUGGGGCUGCCAGGAUUCCCAAAGGGAAAGAGCUGUUAAAGCUGUCAAGAAGAGGCCAGAAUCAACAGGCUGGGAAUUGAGGAUGUUACCUAUAUUGACUUCAUCAUAGUCCAAGGCAGGCUUGGAGGGUGAGUCUGAAGAGUCCUGGAGUGAGGCUACUGCAGAGGCAGUGGUGGGUGGGCCAGAAAAGAUAGGGGCGUUGAAGAGAGUAGCUUCCUAUUGCUGCCCAUAUAGGCUCCCAAAUUGCAGCUAAAGGGUGACCCCUGCCCCAAAAGGAAGGGGGAAGUUUCCGGUAGGGCCGCUGGCCAUCUAAGCAGGUGGGCUGGUGGCAGCUGUGGCCUUUGCAGGGGUUAUCUGCUCCACGCUGAGAGCGGCCUGGUCACGUGGGAGGGAGCUCACGCUGGAUCCUGGUGGAGACCUGGGGAUGAAAGCCUGGCAAGGCAGAGUGCUGUCUGUGGCCAUCAUACCAAAGUCCAAAGCACCCUCUGAGGUCCAGUCCGCAGAUGGGCUGACUGGGCCACUGAGGGUGACUGCAGAAGCAGUGAUGAACUGGCUGGCAAAGACAGGGGACACUAGUGAGAGAGACUUGAAGAGGAGUCUGUAAGAAAAAGGGAAGAGAAUCCACACACAUAGAUGUAGGUGACUCGGCUCUCCAGAGGGCAGGCCUGAAGGAGAAGGUGCUAGGAGGUGGUAAGCGAAGUAGAAGAUCCUGCAACUGUGACUGCGGAACUGGAACGCAAAGGGCCUCUAUUCUCAUUAUUAAGCAGAACCCCAAAGAUGGGCCAGAAUCUAUAAAGAGCGAUGGUAGGAAUAGCAAAAGGACGGUUAGACACUCUGUGUCUCGUUUCGUGAUGGAGAUCUGGUGUGGGGGUAGGUAAAGGGGCAGGUAGGAUUGGGGCCAAACAGCCAAGUAGGGCAGGUCAGUGACUGCUAAUUUGGUAGUUUCUGGAAUCUGCAAGGGGAACGUGGCCAAUGGCGAAGUAAGUGCAUUCCCUGUGAGAGCGGGCGCGCUGAGGGGAACCGCUGUCUGAGGUCGUCUGAGUUGUGUCCUCCAACCCUGCGGCUGCAUCUUCCUUGCGGUGCUGUGUUUUCUCCAGGCUGAUGUCUUCAGCAAUGACCGUGCAAGGAAGGUGGGGGGCGGAAGCCUCUCACUUCGACCCCACGGCGGUGGCAGUAGCAGCAGCAGUGGCAAAACUCGUGGCGUUGGAAUUUUGUUUCUAGGACCUGCAACCAACAGGCGUGGCUGGGGAAUUUCUCCUUGACAGACUCCCUAAAAGCCUUUCUCUCUUGAGUCUUUUUCUUUGACUUCAUAAGGUUAGAGAGCUGAGUCCGUGGCCUUCAUCAAGCUCUUCCUUCCUCACCCUCUCUGGUAGCAGGGGCAGGAAAUGGCGGGGCUAGACACACCUGCUGCCCCUCUGCCUCACUCCUGCAGACAAGCGGGAGGCCUCCAACAGGGCUGUACCGCCUUUGGGUAAGGAGUUCAUGGAAGGCGUCUGUGGUGUCUUGCCCAAGCCACCUUCUUGGAAUAGAAGUUUCCCUUCUGAGGCUCAGGAUGCUCCCAAACGUGCGACAACUUCUGUCGCCAGAGACCUAGAUCUUGAUGGUAUGUGCUCACCCCUAAGGGGGCCCCUUUCUGGAAGUCCUGACUUUCGCACGCUUUUCUAUGGUCUUCUUUUGAUAUCCCCUUCCUUCACGCCCCUGGUGACUUCAUCUCAGUUUUUUUUUUCUUGAAGUGAAAAAAAUUUUAAUUUCUUUCUUCUGAGAGAAGGGAGCAUGUGGGAACAGCAGAGAGAGCAAGACAGAGAGAAUCCCCAGCAGGCUCUGAACUGGCAGUGGGGAGCCCGAUGUGGGGCUCAAACUCACAAACUGUGAGAUCAUGACCUGAGAUGAAAUCAAGAGUCGGAUGUUCAACCGACUGAGCCACCGAGGCGCCCCUUUAGCUCAGUCUCCUUUAAACAAGGCUCUGGAGGGUGACUGGAUGGCCCUGGCCUCACAGAGGUGAUUACCUGAUUAGAUGACAAAGGAGGAAGAGAGUCAGUGUGUGUCCAGGAGGAGGGAUCUUUAGCAUUCCCGAGUGGACAGACACUAUGAGGCACACGCAGAGAGCAGCGGCUCCUUCGGAGAGUCCCCCCGGGGCCACCAGAGAGGAGCACUGAGGCUGCCUGAUCCGAUACCACCCAUUUGGCAAAGGCCCGGAUCCAGGCAGAAAUGCCUGGGGAAAGGGCCAAGGAGAGGUGCAGGGUGAUCUCAGCCGGAUGAGAAGCACAUGUGUGGGAGGGUGGGGGGACAGGGCAAGAGAGAAGCUUGCUGGGGCAGUUGCCCAUGAAGGAUGAUUUGUGUGCUGUUGGGAGUGUGGUAUGAAAUGUGGAGGGCUCUCCUGGCUCCGCGCUCCUCCAUGGCAAAACGUGCACCGUUCGGCCUGAGGCUUGUGGCACAGCACUGGAACCUGGGGCAGAAAAGCACACCAGCUAAGCCCACACCCGCAAAGGGCAUGAGGAAAAGUUGCCAAACGCAAAGGGCAGGGCCCAGAGACCGAAUCCCGGCAGGACUUUCUAGCAUUUCCUGACCUCCCACUGCUGGGUGCAGGUUCCAGACGGGCCUGGCAGUGUGGCGAGACUGUUAAAGACUCUAAAUUCCAAGAGCCCACAGGACUGCCACCUCGGUGCCUAACUGGAGGGCAGAGGCAGAGGCAACCUGUGGUUGGGAGUCAGCCAGCCCAUUUCCCUACGGUCACCAGAGGACAGAGCCUGCUCAGGGCCACAGCAGGAGAGCAUCCUAGAUCUUGCCGAGAAGGCUGUGACGUGCCUGAAAGAAAAUGCAUAUGUUAGAUAGAUGAGCUUCAUCCAGUCAUGAGUCAUACUGCUACUAACUCUGAGUUCAGUGUUAAUGAAUCAACAGUCUAGCACAUCCAAAAGGAGGAAGAAACUCACUGGUCUGUAGAUGAAGCCACUCAAGAAAGUGUUAAUAGUAACUUGUAUAGUGUGUGGUGAAGCAAUGAGAUGUGAAAGCAGCUGAAGUUGUGGAUUUGUGAGAUGAAGAAAAAAAAAAAAAAGGAUAGGAGAGCAUUUAUUGUGAGCUGAAAGCCAAAACUGAGAGUCAUGUUACCCAGAUGGGGAAAAGGUUAACACCCCUGAUCUGCCAGUGCUAGUUGGCUUGCACAUUUCAAGAGGCAAUACAUUAUAAACAGUGUUAAGGCAGGUCCUGCAGAUCAGGAAAUGUUACAGGAAAAGCAUUAGGUGGAAGAGUAGGUUUCAAUGCCAACGAGACUGGCUUGUUUUACUAGGCUUUUGGCAAAGGAACGUAUAUAAUGCAAAUGGCCUCCAAAUCACCAGUCUUCAAAUUAUUCAAGUAUCGGGCAAUCUUGCAGUUGUGUGUCAAUACCAACAGCAACCAACUUUAAGUGCGAGCCCAUAAAGGUGUAGAGAACUUCAAAUCCACCAGAACUCAAAAGGAAACUCUGGUUCAGGAGUUCGGCAUAUGCCAUACACCAGUCCGCUGCAGGUGGAACAAAAAAAAUUUGAGAGAUGUCAGAAGCAUUCUGGGAUGCUUCCACAACUGCUCAUCCAAGAAGCUAUAUUUACUGCUAUCUCCAGGGCAAAUACUUUGCCUCCAGGGUUGUGUUAAUUUUGGAGAAUGCCCAUUGGCCCAUUGUUACGAACUCGCAAAUGCCCACCCCAACCUAGAUGUUCUUUUCAUGCCCCUAAACACUGUCAUCCAACCUCUCAAUCAGGACAUGACAUAAAAGCUUUCAUGGUACGUACGCCACAUGAGGGAGCUUUAUACCUAAAGCUUACAACACCAACAAAGAAACAUGGUGGUUACCAUGAUGGACUAUUGCAGUCAGUCACUAUGCGAACUGUCACUGGUUACUGUCUUGGCACAGUCAAGCAGACUACUUUCAGGAACUUGGGAAAAUGGCAAAACUGCCUGGAAAUUUUCCAAGGCUUUGAAGGUGUUACAUACAACGUAAAGAACCGUGUCAAGUACAUAAUGCAUAUCACAUGACAAGUGGAAAAACUCCCAAUGACGUGAGGGAAGAUGUGGAAGAAAUACUGACAGAGAAGGUGGUAGAACCCACAAAUAAAGACCCAGAAGAGACAGCCAAACAAGGCACUGAAGUCAGUGAUGAUGAGGAUGGUUACGAAAAUCACUCUACUACUGAAUGAGUCGCUUUUCUCGCAGCAGCCACGUAUCAGAAAUUCUACUUUGGAAAAACGUUCCAGGACCUAAAAGAAUGUGACCCAACGGUUGAAUGAAGCCUCAUGCAAUUUAUCAAGCCACUUCACAAAAGGAAACUGCUGACGUCAACAAACGACAAGAGUCAAAUUCCUGAGGUAGAACUGACACCCCACACUCAGUCUUCCUCUUCUGCAGAAUAAAUAGCAUCAACUAUGCCAAGGUCAAGAGGUUCCUUCAGAGUGCACUGCUCUAUCACCACAUAUCCAACAACUCUAUCAAAAUUAGUUAAUGUCAAUCUUUGAUUAAUUUUAACCUUUUUUCUGGACUUUCUUCGCAUGACUGUACAGUAUAACACAGUGUAGGUGUUCACAUUACUGUUUACUGUGUUUAUUGUGUGUGAAUACUAAAUUAUGUAUACUUUCUGUGUGUAUCACUGAGUUAAAGCAGUAUAGUAACAGAAUAAGUUACACAAAAUGAUGUAAUUGAAAUAUUUUUAUUAUAAGGAAAUAACUGCAUAUAAUUUAUUUCUAGGGAACAUGUAUUAAAUAAAUGUCUUUU
Long non-coding RNA from Neofelis nebulosa (Clouded leopard), 6034 nucleotides. RefSeq lists it as uncharacterized. The transcript is spliced from 2 exons. The record is from RefSeq and is a predicted model, not a curated record. NCBI's taxonomy places the organism in Eukaryota, Metazoa, Chordata, Mammalia, Carnivora, Felidae.